RNAcentral lists this ribosomal RNA (595 nucleotides) under Adelie penguin guano bacterium 76. Its description in RNAcentral is "bacterial SSU rRNA". It matches the Rfam family "Bacterial small subunit ribosomal RNA", at positions 93 to 686 of the family's 1533-position model. The record is from RNAcentral.
GAGCGGCGGACGGGUGAGUAAUACUUAGGAAUCUACCUAGUAGUGGGGGAUAGCACGGGGAAACUCGUAUUAAUACCGCAUACGACCUACGGGAGAAAGGGGGCAGUUUACUGCUCUCGCUAUUAGAUGAGCCUAAGUCGGAUUAGCUAGAUGGUGGGGUAAAGGCCUACCAUGGCGACGAUCUGUAGCUGGUCUGAGAGGAUGAUCAGCCACACCGGGACUGAGACACGGCCCGGACUCCUACGGGAGGCAGCAGUGGGGAAUAUUGGACAAUGGGGGAAACCCUGAUCCAGCCAUGCCGCGUGUGUGAAGAAGGCCUUUUGGUUGUAAAGCACUUUAAGCAGUGAAGAAGACUCUGUGGUUAAUACCCACAGACGAUGACAUUAGCUGCAGAAUAAGCACCGGCUAACUCUGUGCCAGCAGCCGCGGUAAUACAGAGGGUGCAAGCGUUAAUCGGAAUUACUGGGCGUAAAGGGAGCGUAGGUGGCUCGAUAAGUCAGAUGUGAAAUCCCCGGGCUCAACCUGGGAACUGCAUCUGAUACUGUUGAGCUAGAGUAUGUGAGAGGAAGGUAGAAUUCCAGGUGUAGCGGUGAAA